UAUUCCUUUAAAACAGUCCUGUGAGGCUGGCAAGGAGCAUGUUCUGAAUAAAAAAGUGCACAGUUAUGUCUAGUUGUGUGCCUAUUUGCUGAAUCUCCUUGUUAACAGGGAGAUUUUUUAGUU
Streptococcus equi subsp. zooepidemicus H70 is the source of this 123-nucleotide non-coding RNA. The record is from Rfam. NCBI's taxonomy places the organism in Bacteria, Bacillati, Bacillota, Bacilli, Lactobacillales, Streptococcaceae.